RNAcentral lists this ribosomal RNA (484 nucleotides) under uncultured bacterium. Its description in RNAcentral is "partial 16S ribosomal RNA". It matches the Rfam family "Bacterial small subunit ribosomal RNA", at positions 28 to 507 of the family's 1533-position model. The record is from RNAcentral.
AUUGAACGCUGGCGGCAUGCUUUACACAUGCAAGUCGAACGGCAGCGCGGGCUUCGGCCUGGCGGCGAGUGGCGAACGGGUGAGUAAUGCAUCGGAACGUGCCCAGUAGUGGGGGAUAGCCCGGCGAAAGCCGGAUUAAUACCGCAUACGACCUGAUGGUGAAAGCGGGGGACCGAAAGGCCUCGCGCUAUUGGAGCGGCCGAUGUCGGAUUAGCUAGUUGGUGGGGUAAAGGCUUACCAAGGCGACGAUCCGUAGCUGGUCUGAGAGGACGACCAGCCACACUGGGACUGAGACACGGCCCAGACUCCUACGGGAGGCAGCAGUGGGGAAUUUUGGACAAUGGGGGCAACCCUGAUCCAGCCACGCCGCGUGCGGGAAGAAGGCCUUCGGGUUGUAAACCGCUUUUGUUCGGGAAGAAAUCCUCUGGGCUAAUACCCCGGGGGGAUGACGGUACCGGAAGAAUAAGCACCGGCUAACUACGUG